GACGAACCGUGCAAACGUUAUUCGGAAUCACUGGGCUUAAAGAGUCCGUAGGCGGCGCGUUAGGUGGGGUGUGAAAUCCCUCGGCUCAACCGAGGAAUUGCGCUCCAAACCGGCGUGCUUGAGGAAGGUAGAGGUGAGCGGAACUGAUGGUGGAGCGGUGAAAUGCGUUGAUAUCAUCAGGAACACCGGAGGCGAAGGCGGCCUUCUGGACAGUGACUGACGCUGAGACGCGAAAGCGUGGGGAGCAAACAGG
RNAcentral lists this ribosomal RNA (253 nucleotides) under uncultured bacterium. RNAcentral's name for it is "partial 16S ribosomal RNA". It matches the Rfam family "Bacterial small subunit ribosomal RNA", at positions 524 to 776 of the family's 1533-position model. The record is from RNAcentral.